CAGCAGCCACGGGAAGACGAACCGUGCGAACGUUAUUCGGAAUCACUGGGCCUAAAGCGCGUGUAGGCGGAUGGGAGCGUCGGCCUCUGAAAUCCCCCGGCUCAACCGGGGAAGUGGAGCCGAAACGACCCGUCUGGAGGGACGUAGGGGGACCUGGAACUUCCGGUGGAGCGGUGAAAUGCGUUGAGAUCGGAAGGAACGCCCGUGGCGAAAGCGAGGUCCUGGACGUCUGCUGACGCUGAGACGCGAAAGCCAGGGGAGCGAACGGGAUUAGAUACCCCAGUAGUCCCUGUCUCUUAUA
This 301-nucleotide ribosomal RNA is filed under the name uncultured bacterium. RNAcentral's name for it is "partial 16S ribosomal RNA". It matches the Rfam family "Bacterial small subunit ribosomal RNA", at positions 509 to 807 of the family's 1533-position model. The record is from RNAcentral.